Molecule: ribosomal RNA, 253 nt
Filed under: uncultured bacterium
Lineage: Bacteria
Description: partial 16S ribosomal RNA
Rfam family: Bacterial small subunit ribosomal RNA
Source: RNAcentral
UACGGAGGGUGCAAGCGUUAUCCGGAUUCACUGGGUUUAAAGGGUGCGUAGGCGGGUGUGUAAGUCCGUGGUGAAAUCUCUGAGCUUAACUCGGAAACUGCCAUGGGUACUGCAUAUCUUGAAUGUUGUGGAGGUGAGCGGAAUAUGUCAUGUAGCGGUGAAAUGCUUAGAUAUGACAUAGAACACCGAUUGCGAAGGCAGCUCACUACACAAAUAUUGACGCUGAGGCACGAAAGCGUGGGGAUCAAACAGG